CGCUAGACGUUGAAAGUUGUGGAGGCGGGGGCGAGGAGGGAGGGGGAAGCCGUGGCGGGGGCGGGGAGGGUUCCGGCGAAGGGGGAGGUGGGGGCGGUGCACGAGAUCGCCGUGGCGUCCUUGGGGAUGUGGGAGGCGGGGGGUGCGGUGGGGAAGAAGGGGGAGGAGGGGUAGGUGGGGGAGGAGGGGUAGGUGGGGGAGGAGAGGAAGAUGGUGGGGGUGGGCGGGAUUUCCUGUUCACAGUUGGUGGUGAUGGGGAAGGUGGCGAUGGAGGGGGUUGCGGGGUGGACGACGGUGGAGGUGAAGGUGGAGGUGGCGGUGGUGGUGAAGGUGGAGGUGGCGGUGGUGGUGAAGGUGGAGGUGGCGGUGGUGGUGAAGGUGGAGGUGGCGGUGGUGGUGA
RNAcentral lists this long non-coding RNA (400 nucleotides) under Volvox carteri. Its description in RNAcentral is "long non-coding RNA (VCAR_LNC003177)". The record is from RNAcentral. Lineage: Eukaryota; Viridiplantae; Chlorophyta; Chlorophyceae; Chlamydomonadales; Volvocaceae.